GAGAUUGAUGAAAUCG
RNAcentral lists this small RNA (16 nucleotides) under Arabidopsis thaliana (thale cress). RNAcentral describes it as "ATSL304680". The record is from RNAcentral. Lineage: Eukaryota; Viridiplantae; Streptophyta; Magnoliopsida; Brassicales; Brassicaceae.